UUAUGGAGCCAGCCGCCGAAGGUGGGACAGAUAAUUGGGGUGAAGUCGUAACAAGGUAGCCGUAUCGGAAGGUGCGGCUGGAUCACCUCCUUUCUAAGGAA
RNAcentral lists this ribosomal RNA (101 nucleotides) under Listeria monocytogenes. RNAcentral's name for it is "partial 16S ribosomal RNA". It matches the Rfam family "Bacterial small subunit ribosomal RNA", at positions 1441 to 1533 of the family's 1533-position model. The record is from RNAcentral. Lineage: Bacteria; Bacillati; Bacillota; Bacilli; Caryophanales; Listeriaceae.